GUGAGGAAUAUUGGUCAAUGGGCGAGAGCCUGAACCAGCCAAGUCGCGUGAGGGAGUACUGCCCUAUGGGUUGUAAACCUCUUUUGUCGGGGAGCAAAAGCCGGACGUGUCCGGCUGUGAGAGUACCCGAAGAAAAAGCAUCGGCUAACUCCGUGCCAGCAGCCGCGGUAAUACGGAGGAUGCGAGCGUUAUCCGGAUUUAUUGGGUUUAAAGGGUGCGCAGGCGGAUUUUUAAGUCAGCGGUCAAAUCGUGGGGCUCAACCCCAUCCAGCCGUUGAAACUGGGGAUCUAGAGUGUGCGAGAGGUAUGCGGAAUGCGUGGUGUAGCGGUGAAAUGCAUAGAUAUCACGCAGAACCCCGAUUGCGAAGGCAGCAUACCGGUGCACAACUGACGCUCAGGCACGAAAGCGUGGGUAUCGAACAGG
This 423-nucleotide ribosomal RNA is filed under the name bacterium. Its description in RNAcentral is "bacterial SSU rRNA". It matches the Rfam family "Bacterial small subunit ribosomal RNA", at positions 354 to 776 of the family's 1533-position model. RNAcentral also lists the same sequence under 1 other name. The record is from RNAcentral.